This 305-nucleotide ribosomal RNA is filed under the name uncultured bacterium. RNAcentral describes it as "bacterial SSU rRNA". It matches the Rfam family "Bacterial small subunit ribosomal RNA", at positions 333 to 654 of the family's 1533-position model. The record is from RNAcentral.
GUGUACCUACGGGGGGCAGCAGUGGGGGAUAUUGCACAAUGGGGGAAACCCUGAUGCAGCGACGCCGCGUGUGGGAAGACGGUCCUCUGGAUUGUAAACCACUGUCCCCAGGGACGAAGAUGACGGUACUUGGGGAGGAAGCUCCGGCUAACUACGUGCCAGCAGCCGCGGUAAUACGUAGGUGGCGAGCGUUAUCCGGAAUGAUUGGGCGUAAAGGGUGCGCAGGCGGUCCUGCAAGUCUGGAGUGAAACGCAUGAGCUCAACUCAUGCAUGGCUUUGGAAACUGGAGGACUGGAGAGCAGGAG